This 299-nucleotide unclassified non-coding RNA is filed under the name plant metagenome. Its description in RNAcentral is "partial contains 5.8S ribosomal RNA, internal transcribed spacer 2, and large subunit ribosomal RNA". The stretch from base 1 to 105 matches the Rfam family "5.8S ribosomal RNA", at positions 50 to 154 of the family's 154-position model. The record is from RNAcentral.
GAAAUGCGAUAAGUCAUGUGAAUUGCAGAAUUCAGUGAAUCAUCGAAUCUUUGAACGCACAUUGCGCUCGCCAGUAUUCUGGCGAGCAUGCCUGUUCGAGCGUCAUUUCAACCAUCAAGCUCUGCUUGCGUUGGGGAUCCGCGGCUGCCCGCGGUCCCUCAAAAACAGUGGCGGGCUCGCUAGUCACACCGAGCGUAGUAACUCUACAUCGCUAUGGUCGUGCGGCGGGUUCUUGCCGUAAAACCCCCAAUUUCUAAGGUUGACAUCGGAUCAGGUAGGAAUACCCGCUGAACUUAAGC